AUUGAACGCUGGCGGAAUGCUUUACACAUGCAAGUCGAACGGCAGCACGGACUUCGGUCUGGUGGCGAGUGGCGAACGGGUGAGUAAUGUAUCGGAACGUGCCCAGUCGUGGGGGAUAACGUAGUGAAAAUUACGCUAAUACCGCAUACGAUCUAUGGAUGAAAGCGGGGGAUCGCAAGACCUAGCGCGAUUGGAGCGGCCGAUAUCAGAUUAGGUAGUUGGUGGGGUAAAGGCCCACCAAGCCAACGAUCUGUAGCUGGUCUGAGAGGACGACCAGCCGCACUGGAGCUGAGACGCGGUCAUGAACCCUACGGGAGGCAGCAGUGGGGAAUUUUGGACAAUGGGCGAAAGCCUGAUCCAGCCAUUCCGCGUGCAGGAUGAAGGCCCUCGGGUUGUAAACUGCUUUUGUACAGAACGAAAAGGUUUCUACUAAUACUAGGAGCUCAUGACGGUACUGUAAGAAUAAGCACCGGCUAACUACGUGCCAGCCGCCGCCGUAA
RNAcentral lists this ribosomal RNA (500 nucleotides) under uncultured bacterium. RNAcentral describes it as "partial 16S ribosomal RNA". It matches the Rfam family "Bacterial small subunit ribosomal RNA", at positions 30 to 523 of the family's 1533-position model. The record is from RNAcentral.